UAUGGAGGGUGCAAGCGUUAAUCGGAAUUACUGGGCGUAAAGCGCACGCAGGCGGCUUGUUAAGUCGGAUGUGAAAGCCCCGGGUUCAACCUGGGAAUUGCAUUCGAUACUGGCAAGCUAGAGUAUGUGAGAGGGGGGUAGAAUUCCAAGUGGAGCGGUGAAAUGCGUAGAGAUUUGGAGGAAGACCAGUGGCGAAGGCGGCCCCCUGGCACACUACUGACGCUCAGGUGCGAAAGCGUGGGGAGCAAACAGG
RNAcentral lists this ribosomal RNA (253 nucleotides) under uncultured bacterium. RNAcentral's name for it is "partial 16S ribosomal RNA". It matches the Rfam family "Bacterial small subunit ribosomal RNA", at positions 524 to 776 of the family's 1533-position model. The record is from RNAcentral.